Molecule: long non-coding RNA, 628 nt
Filed under: Trifolium pratense (red clover)
Lineage: Eukaryota; Viridiplantae; Streptophyta; Magnoliopsida; Fabales; Fabaceae
Description: long non-coding RNA (TPRA_LNC010072)
Source: RNAcentral
GGAAGGUAAAUCUAACCACCUUAUAGAUAGAAAGGGCCUACUGUGCAUAUUUAUGUUUCUCUCGUGAAUGAGCCAUCACCAUCCUCCACCGUUGUCAUUAACCAACAGAGUCUAACUUCACCAUAGAUAAGAAUUUGGAUACAAGAAUUCAUUACAGCUAAAUCAACUUCCACUCCCAUCAAGUACUAUCAUUCCUUUGAUACUACUCUAUUCCUGGGAGGGAUUCAAAUCUAGUGACUUCAUGUCAUGUAUAAUAGAUACUUAUAUCAAAAGCUUUCAUGACGGCAAGUGCACAGUAUAAUGGAUAUGGAAAAGAUGAUUCACACACUUUAGUAAGAUUGUUAGAAAUUCAAUACUAGACGAUGAAUAACUCAUGUAGUUUCUUUCUAGACUAAAUAAAAUUAAUCACCCACACCUAACCUUUUAACAAUAUCCUUGAAAAACUUGGUGUUAAACUACGCCUUAGCGGGUUUGUUUUUGCAGUCACACACGUUGAUGGUGGCAAAGCUACAAUUUGUAAAUAGUAGAUUGCUGAGCCAUGUAGAAAGCCACAAUUGAAAAUAGUGGUUUGAAAUGCUUAUGUUUUAUUUGCACAAAACUUGAUAAAAUUGCAUAUCAUUAAGAAAUG